ACGAACGCUGGCGGCAUGCCUAACACAUGCAAGUCGAACGAGACCUUCGGGUCUAGUGGCGCACGGGUGCGUAACGCGUGGGAACCUGCCCUUAGGUUCGGAAUAACUCCCCGAAAGGGGUGCUAAUACCGGAUAAUGUCUUCGGACCAAAGAUUUAUCGCCUUUGGAUGGGCCCGCGUUGGAUUAGCUAGUUGGUAGGGUAAAAGCCUACCAAGGCGACGAUCCAUAGCUGGUCUUAGAGGAUGAUCAGCCACACUGGGACUGAGACACGGCCCAGACUCCUACGGGAGGCAGCAGUGGGGAAUAUUGGACAAUGGGCGAAAGCCUGAUCCAGCAAUGCCGCGUGAGUGAUGAAGGCCUUAGGGUUGUAAAGCUCUUUUACCCGGGAUGAUAAUGACAGUACCGGGAGAAUAAGCUCCGGCUAACUCCGUG
This 432-nucleotide ribosomal RNA is filed under the name uncultured bacterium. RNAcentral's name for it is "partial 16S ribosomal RNA". It matches the Rfam family "Bacterial small subunit ribosomal RNA", at positions 29 to 507 of the family's 1533-position model. The record is from RNAcentral.